This 226-nucleotide unclassified non-coding RNA is filed under the name Hevea brasiliensis (rubber tree). The record is from RNAcentral. Lineage: Eukaryota; Viridiplantae; Streptophyta; Magnoliopsida; Malpighiales; Euphorbiaceae.
GUAUCGGUCAUCACCUUUCACGAGGUAUAUGUUAAUAUCAUAGUUAUUUUGAUGGCAAUAAGAAUGUAUAGUUGCAGAAGUCUUUUAGGCCAAAUUUCAGCAGCUAUUUGUCUUGCUGACAUUUUAUAUUUCACUGAAAGAUCCAUCAUCUAGCAUGACAGUAGAGUUCUUGGGCUUGCAGCCAUGAAGUAAAGGUUCAAGACCUAAGAGCAAGUCUUCAUGUAAA